Non-coding RNA from Pelobates cultripes (western spadefoot toad), 14525 nucleotides. The record is from the annotation of a GenBank genome assembly. NCBI's taxonomy places the organism in Eukaryota, Metazoa, Chordata, Amphibia, Anura, Pelobatidae.
CUCUAUUCUUGCACAUCCCAACCACAUUUUACACUGCCAUAUAAUUUGUUCAUAUAGUCCGUCACAUCUCGGCAGUUUAGAAGAUCUCCAAUUCUUGGCAAUCAAUAACUUAGUUGCUGUAAAGAUGUGGAGGACUAUUGGAAGAAUAUUUUUGUGUAUUGCUUUAAGAUUAAUAUGUAAUAAUGCUAUUUCUGGCGUCCUUUCUAUACAGGUGGUCCUCGUUUUGCGCCAAAUAUGAUAGAAGGUUCCUGGGUUCGAUCCACAUCUCCAACAAUUUAUAUCUGUAUUAGAUCAAGCGACACUUAAUUUGGCCAAUGUACUUGGUACCCAGUACCAUCUAUUACGUACCUUAUAUUGUACCUCUCUCAAAUUCAAUGAGCAAACUUGUAUUUCUAACACUAUAGUGUCCUAGUCCAUGAUUAGUUUUAGCCCCCCGCCUACCCCGUUUGGAGUAAAAACCUACAAAAUGUUUUUUUCUUACCUUUUUCCUUCUUCGUCCAAUGUUUGUCUGCAAUGUUGGGUGGUAUGGCACUGUGCACGCACAAAGCAUUUAAGAACACAACAAAUACAAAGUAAUAGAGCCCAAAGAGUGAAACAUAUUUUAAUAUUGUAGCACAUUGUCAUCUGUACUACAAAAAAAAUGAGGAAUCACAGACCAAAAUCAAUGUACAGCAAAGCUUGAGUUUCUGUUUUGUGAACUGUACAGUUGAAGGUAAAUAUGCAAAAUACAUCAUGAUAAAAGCACAUUGAUGACAUACUGCAGUAAUGUGUAUUUUAGUUCGGAAGGCGGCAUUUAAUGUGUAUUGUAUAUUGGCAGACAUCUUGUUUCAAUAAACACUUGAUGCAUUUUGCUUUUUAUUAUUUUGCAUUCAUGCCCGUAGCAUAGUUUAUAAAACAAACGUAUACAUUCAAAAUGAUAUUUAACAUGAAUAUACAUGUUUUUCAAAAAGGAGGCAGCAACUGAAUUUUAUCAUAAAUAUAUAAUUAUUCAAUGAAAGCAAAAUUGAUAGAAAAACAAACAAACAAUAUGCAUUCUUUGCUUUGGUGAAACCGAAAUACAUUUCACAAAGGGAACAAACUGAUUAAACUGUAGAACAUUUACAGGAGUUUCUGAGUUUGAGAAAUGGAGACUUUCUGUUAUACGCUUAUACAUCCUGAUGUACCUCUGACCACUAAUGAAUGCAGUCAUUUUUAAUAAAUAUGACGAAGUGUUUUUAUAUUUUUUUUAAAUAAAAAGAGUUGACUGACAAUGAGUGGAGAGUUUUUUUACACAGCAUGUAAGAAUCCUACCAACGGUGAUGUCAUCGAUGUGACCAAUCAUGCAUUUCUGCAGCACAGAAUCGAUAAGCCUAUGAGGUCACAUUGAUGAUGUCACAGAGGGCACUGAUCAUUGCAUUCAAGUGUAUUUUUGCAAAUAGCAGCACAAUUGCUAGUAAUACUAUUAGCAUAACGUAUAGAUUUGUGCUACCUCUCAUAAUCUUCUUUCUCUUUAAUAUUACCUGCUUGUGGCUGCGCCGUGCUUGCAAGCUCACCAUUUGCUAUUUCUGCCAGGUCAAGGAAUGUACAUUGGUAAAAAUAUGAAGUACAUGGCAAUGUGCUCAGUGAACCUUUAUGUGUGAUAACUUCAGCAAUGGAAUGAUUGCUCAAAUUCCAUAGUGGUGUUUCGGGAAUAUGGAAAUAAAAAUUUGUGUUGGAUUUCUUUUUGUUCAGACUUGCACAACAGAGUUAAUUCUAUGUCUGGUUGAGCUAGAUAUGACCAUGUCUGGGUAUCGCGAUAAAACCAACUCUCAUCACAAUUGGCCCAGGUGGACACAGUACAAGUCUUUACAUUUGAUAUUAUAAAUGGACUUUACAAAUGCUUAACUUAAACUAAUUCAGUGUCCUAGAGACCUUCAAUGACAUUUUGGGGAUUGAGAGAAAAGGUUGAGCUGCUAAGUUAAAAUGGUAAACAUCAAACAACUUGAGUUAAACUCAUUCUGACUUGUCCAUGAGUACUAAGUCUUAUCACACGAACGCUUUAUAUGAUCAGCUGAGUUAAAACCAACUUCAAUGGUGUUCACUGGUGGAAUGAAUGGUGGGUUCAGUUUGCUUGUGUCAGUAGUUCAUUCAUAUUUUGUUUUAUUUGUAUGAAACUUUGUUACAACACUUUAAGAAUAUGUUACAUUUCUCAUAAAUAUCAUAUAUGGGAAAAGCUGUAUACUUCUAACAUACCUUAUGUAGAAUGAAUUAACCAGGCUGCAGUGGCCCUAUCAUUUUAACCCUGCAAGGUAAAACAUGUUUAUAUUGCAGCAUUAAAUAAACCUCUAGAUUUAUUUUUUUUACACAGCAGGUAAGAAUCCUACCAACUUUGAUGUCAUCGAUGUGACCAAUCAUGCAUUUCUGCAGCACAGAAUCGAUAAGCCUAUCUUCCAGACAGCCACAAGAGGCACUUCCACAGCAUUGAAUGAAAAAAACUCGGAAGUCCCCAUAGGAAAGCAUUGGAUCACAGCUUUCCUAUGGAUAGCUUGGAUGCCUUUGUGUCAUCAGGUCCCCAAUGCUUCUCAAUGAAGAACAUUGGAUUGGAUCAACGAUGGAGCACACAGUAGGUAAGUAGUGCCCAGGGAUCAUCGGUUCCAGAAAUAUAUAAGUAGAAUCAGUGAUUUUAUUUUAGAACUAGGGUCAGGGACAUGAAAGCGUUAGGAAUACAGGUUUGUUUUUCUAACCCUUUAGUUUUCUUUCAAUAGAAAACCAAGUAAGUAUUGGACUUUUCCUGCUACAUUCUCUCUAUCCUUCAUUUGGAGCAAGGGGACAAGGCUGAGGUGCUAAAGUGGUUGGGUGCCUUUGUGAUAACCAAAGAAUCUAUGUCCAGUUCUUUAUUAUUUUUUUCCAUAAGUUGUCCCAGUGAUAUAACUUACAUAUUGUCGCACAAAGCAAAUAACUGGCACAGCUUAUAAAGGUGCUGAAACAAAGCUAAACUUUCUUAAUCCUUCGCAGUAGAACACCUCAUGGAUGGCCAUACAUCCCACCACUAUUCACAAUGAUGAUAUUAUCUAACUAAAGAGAAACUGAUACAUUGAAAGAAAUGACACGUUGUAAUAUCUUGCUAAAAAUUAAUUUAUUAGGUAUGAUUUUUACUUAUUUACUAACAUCUACACUUUUUAUUUGACUUUGUAUCGAAUGCAAGGCAUAGCCUGGCAUCUGAUUCAAAUUCCAAAUGUCCCAUGAAUCCAUAUGCAUGGCAAUGGAAUGGUUUGCAUGCACAAGGAAUCAUAAGAAGAAAAUACUAUGCAAGAUUAUCUCAAAGUGCAGUAUAUGUUUAAUACUUAAUUUGGUUGCACACCUCACUAUACUAUAACCUCAUAUGCAUUCAUUUUUGGUUCUGAUAUGUUUCUAUCAAAUUUUCAUUAUGUACCAAGAAAUAUCUGGUACAGGGUGCAAGAAGCCCCUUUUUUUUCCCUUUAAUACAGUAAAUAUUCUAGGUUCCUGAACUAGUACCCCAAAGAAGGAUAUUUGGCUAUUAUUAUCCCACCAGCUGUAUGUGGCAACAUGGUAAUUCUAGUUGUUUGUUAAUACUUCCAUCUCUGCAUGAAAAUAGAUACAAUUUAAUUUUUAAAACUAAGUUUUUUAUCCAAUAUUUCUGUAAAGAAUUAGUGAAUAAAAAAAAAUUAGUAAGUGGCCUUCAAAGACUGGAAUUUUCCACCCCUAUUCUGUAUCAUUCAAAGGGCAAAUACAUAUUUUAGUGGGUAAUCCAUAUAACAUUUUAUUGUUUAAAUACAGGCAAUCUGAUAUUAAUCUUACAUAUAUUAUAUAAUAUAUUAUGAGCAGCCAUGUUAAUAUACGAGGAAUAAAUAUAUAUAUAUCUCAAAUUUCAAACUGGUGUAAAUAAUUUGUAUAUUAUUUUUAUUCAUUUAUAAUAUAUUCAAGUGGUUCACUUGUUUCCUUUGCAAUAUUUUAGUAGUGCAUAUAAGGGGAUUUAAUAUUUUUUUUAAUGGUGUUGGAACUGUUAACACAAGUUGAAAAGAAUUAGGCCACAGUAGAGGAGCUCAAAAUAUUUUUAGACUUUUUUGGUUUUACAUCUUUGACAUUUUGGCCAUGAUUUUGUAAACUUGAUUAUGAAUUCAUAAAGAUUUAUGAUUCAGUCAACAAAAUUUGAGAUUACUUUAGCUUAUGAGUUUCACUUUCUGCUAGUCUUAUGUAUAAUAUAUAAAUGUUGUAUGACAAAGGACUAGAAUGCACUCAAAAGCGAAUUAAUGUCGGAGACUGCUACUGACUGCCCCCAGAAAGGACCCACAAAUGUAACUCACGCUUACUUAAUUGCUUGAAAAUUGGUCAAAUGGAACUGUGGGAUUGGAAAAUCAUUUUGUUUGAUAAAGAGAGAGACCUUUAUCGCCACAAAUCCAUCAAAAUAUAUCCAGAGCAUUUCUCCUUGUGCAACUCAAAAUCUUGGAUUUAAAGGAGCACUCCAAACCUCAUAACAACUUAAAAGAAGCCUUUGGGCACCAUUACAACUUCAUCAUAAUGAAGUUGUUAUUAUGCCAGGAAGUCCUCGUACUCUUUCUACCUGAAAUGGUAAAACCGUUCUCAAAAGAUUUAGCCUCCAAGGUUGCAUCCAGCUCCGCAUUUCUAAUUUCCCCAGCACAUCCAGCUUCUGAAAUUGACUUUCAAGCCGCUGGGCGCCCGCUAUUGAUUGGCUAGAGCAGACAGUUAUAAAAAAGGUACAUACUGUGUACCUUUGUAUGUACGUAUGCAAGUAUGUACUAGUCCUUUAAGUACGUACCGUUUCUCUCAAUGGGUGAUUAUUAACUAUCAGUGGAUGCCUGGCUUAUCUUUCCUUAAACUGCAGAGCAAGGGUAGAAGUGCAUUGAGCCCAACUUUGGGGUUAAAAUGUUUGGUAAGAAGGUGCGUGGGCACUGCUUCCCACAGAGGAAUUUAAAUUAAUUUAACUUGGUAUGGGGUGGCAGUGUUCCUUUAAAUGAAACAGCAGCUAAUAAAUUCCUAAUAUAACUAUUACCUAAUUUAAUGCUGCUCAAUUUAUUGACCUCAUAAGGACAACAGGCUAAAUCGGUCCUUUGAGAAAUCAAUCUUUCAGCCCUGAAGUUUAAAUGGGUUAUGCAAUGAGUAUCUAGCAACCAUCACCAACCUUCAUUAAAGGACCACUCUAGGCACCCAGACCACUUAAGCUUAAUGAAGUGGUCUGGGUGCCAGGUCCCUCUAGGAUUAACCCAUUUUUUUUAUAAACAUAGCAGUUUCAGAGAAACUAAAGCCUCUAGUGGCUGUCUCAUUGACAGCCGCUAGAGGCGUUUGCGUGCUUCUGACUGUGAUAAUCACAGUGAGAAGACGCCAGCGUCCAUAGGAAAGCAUUAUGAAUGCUUUCCUAUGAGACCGGCUGAAUGCGCGCGCAGCUCCUGCAUGCGCAUUCAGCUGAAGAGGAGGAUCGGAGGCGGAGAGGAGGAGGAGAGCUCCCCGCCCGGCGCUGGAAAAAAGGUAAGUUUAACCCCUUUCCUCUCCCCAGAGCCCGGCGGGAGUGGGACCCUGAGGGUGGGGGCACCCUCAGGGCACUAUAGUGCCAGGAAAACAAGUAUGUUUUCCUGGCACUAUAGUGGUCCUUUAAUAACUUAGAACAGUAUAAACUGUGUAAUCAAAAGCCCAGCAUUAAACCUACAUUGUAAAACCAAUAAACCCUCAUAUAUAGGAAUUUUCACAUAAAAAAAUAUUUUUUGAAAACGCACAUUUGUUAUCAGCUUACAUUCAUAGCACAAUUAGCAGCAUUAAACAGUCAGAAAAGAAGCCAUAUAGAAAGGAAGAGAUGGGAAAUAUACAUGUUAGCUAUAUUUGUGAUAGUGGUUUAACGGUGUAACUAAUGGAAUGCAGGCCUUCCAGUUGUCCCUAUUUUGGCAGAAUAUUCCCAAUUUGAAGAUUUGCAGAAAAAAUAAUGGUUCAUGCUGUCCUGGAUAACAUAAAUAGCAGCUUUACUGGGGCAAAAGCAGCAACGUUUCGACCCUACCGGGUCUUUAAACAUUGCUGCUUUUGCCCAAAUAAAGCUGCUAUUUUUGUUGUACUGGAGUGCCUGAAUCAGUUUUUAUUCUGCAUAUCUUGGAAGGGAGACCUGGCCAGCCCUGGCUUCAGAGCACCUGCGUUAUUUGGUGAAUAUGGUAUCCAGUAAGUCUCUACUACUCCCAAUUGGAAGUUCCUGCCCACUGUUCCAGGUUUAGGACACCAGGAAACUGACCAGGAAGAGUAGCACUAGUGCCUCACUAUAUGCGCUUGCACAAGACUCAAGGCACUCAUACCCUGCUAGCCCCUCUACUACUCCCAAUUUGAAGGUCCUGCCCACUGUUCCAGGUUUAGGACACCAGGAAACUGACCAGGAAGAGUAGCACUAGUGCCUUACUAUAUGCGCUUGCACAACACUCAAGGCACUCAUACCCUGCUAGCCCCUCUACUGAAUUACACUGCCAAAGAAAGGGCGCUUCAUUUGUGGAAUAUUAUCCUGGAUAUUUGACUGACUGGAUUUUCUAUCACUAUUUGAUAUCUCUGGAAAAUUAUUUUUGGACCGUAUUUGGAUAUACAUGGUUUGGACUUUGUUUCUUCUUUGUGCUUUACUUAUUAUUUUAAAAUCAUUCUGUAGACCUGGACAUUUAAAAGAGGAACAAAAUUGAUUAUUAAAUCGUCAUAUCCAUAAAGAAAACGUAUGGUUGAUCACAUAAAAGACCACAAUUUCAAGUCCCUUACUACUAGCCAGGCCUAAAAGUUACUUUACACUAGAAACCUUGUCCUGCAACACAACGAUUGUCAUUGGACAGAAAAAGUAGCACUUACAACUGCACAUCUCCGAACAACAUGCACAGCAUCUGACAAUUCCUAGCAUGUGGCUAGUGGGCAACUGGAAAUUAUGAGCCAAAAUCAGAUUCAUCAGACCAAAUCAGAUUAAUAUCUUUUAUUUUUCUCAAGGAACCACGCUUAACCAGAUCCAAUUAUUACAUCCAACUAAUAAUUGGGUAUAAUGCAGAGGAGAACAGAAAUGCAGGAUCACUACACUGCCCAAAUUAGUAGCAUUUUUGCAUUGGAGUAAAUCUAAAAACAGCAUGCAAAAGCUGCAGAACUCUUAUCAGCAGCCUUUGCAAGCCCUCGCCUUCUAACCCAGCCCAGGCUUUCUGUGGCUGUCCAAUCACAGUCUUCUCGCUUAGCUUGGUGAAAAGUCUUGGUAAGGCAGGUGCUCUGAGGAAUUGCUGCCUCUUCAGUUUAUAACUUUAGAUCUACCAAGUUAAACCAGGAAGUAACGGAGUCAGUUGUCUGAUUGACAGACAGGGGAUGUAACAAAGUUAAUUUAUAAAAAGUUACAAAUUCUGUUGAAACGUGCACUUUUUGAAAAAUUAAAAAAACAGGACACAGUCUUCACACAACACCCUGAGGUGCUUUGGGGGUCUGGAGUGUCCCUUUAAAGUGACGGCGGGAUGGAAAGAUCUAAAUUGAUUCUAUUGAUAAAAGGAACAAACUGCUGAUUCAGAUUAUUUAAGUCAACCAAGAAACUAGACUUGCUUUUUUUUUUUGUAAUAAUUGUUAUCAUCAUGUUUAAAUCAUGACAGGCCUAAUGUCUAUGCGAUUUAUUUGCUCAUAUGUCCAUUUCACUUAGUUUUGUUUGUUUAGUUUGGCUGGGUUUCUUAAAUAGUUUACAAUGUUAACAGGGAGGAACAUUAAUUACUCUGCAGGAUUAGCAGUAAAUACUUGUACGUAUGAAGAGAGACCAGUUGUUAUUGCUGUUGUGUUUACUUGUCUUGCCCAGCCACAUUGUUUUCCAAUUCUACCCUACAAUAACAUACUUUGUCAUUCUUCGAACACACAUUCUUAGAUAACAGAUUAAUCAGAUCCAGAUGGGAAACCUCUCAUAGGCUCUUGUCCAAUUACCCACAGGGCAGAGAUGUUGCAAUGUUAGUCUCCCCCCAUGCCUCCAUCCAUUUUGCUGAUACAGCAGUAUUCUACACUAAUUUUCAUGACGCUCAGAAUGACCGAAACCAGCAUCAGUUUAUAAUAUAAGAAAAUAACAUCAAAUUACAGCGUACUAUAAUCCCCUUUCUUGCAAACUACACCACUGUGAACCUGUAUUCUUAUUGGCAAGCAAUCAUUAUGUCAAAAGUGUGUCAUGUUGCUUAAUGUUGCUUUUCUUCUUCAUUCCUGAUAGUGUACCAACUGUAGCUGGGUCAUGACAUUGGCAGUACUGGAAUUGGUGGGAGAUGGGUAAAGGGGGAGGACCAGUUAUGCAAUUGUAUCAGUGGUUCCACCCCAAAGGGGAGGUGCCUGCAUUAAAAGGCACACACCCAUUUGGAAAGGGCAUGUCCGCCCACAUUACUGGCAGGUCAGGAGGGACAGUUGGACAAACCCAAAAUUUGGGACUGUCCUGCCGAAAUCAGGUUGGUUGGGAGGCAUGGGAUAUAGCACCGUACAAGUUGGUUUAAACGCCUUGCAUAUUAAAAAUUUAUGGUAUAAGCUAUGUUAUGUUCUGAGCAAGCUUUCAACUAAAACCAUUAAAGGACCACUAUGGUGCCAGGAAAACAUACUCGUUUUUCUGGCACUAUAGUGCCCUGAGGGUGCCCUCACCCUCAGGGUCCCUCUCCUGCAGGGCUCUAGGGGGUGGAAGGGGUUAAACUUACCUCUUUCUCCAGCGCCGGGCGGAGAGCUCUCCUCCUCCACGCGCGCAUUCAGCCAGUCUCAUAGGAAAGCAUUCACAAUGCUUUCCUGUGGAUGCUGGCGUCUUCUCACUGUGAUUUUCACAGUGAGAAGCACGCAAGCGCCUCUAGCGGCUGUCAAUGAGACAGCCACUAGAGGCUGGAUGAACCCUAAUAUAAACAUAGCAGUUUCUCUGAAACUGCUAUGUUUAUAGAAAAAAGGGUUAAACCUAGCUGGACCAGGCACCCAGACCACUUCAUUAAGCUGAAGUGGUCUGGGUGCCUAUAAUGGACCUUUAAGUAUAUGGCUGAUCCAAUGGCUCUCAACAUUACAUUGUUAUGUGGUGCAAUUUCAAUGAUACACAGCAGCUUCUGAAAAACACCGGCUUCUUAUUAAACCACUCAGCCAUGCUUGUGAAUCUCCCAAAGUGAACUAAUAACUACUGCAUAUUGUAAAAAUCUGCAUGAGAUUAACAAAAACAAGAUAAUAAUCAGAGAAAGUCAGCAUAAAAAUGUCAAUUGUAAUGAUGACAAAUUAUUAUUAAAAAAAUUAAUCCAGGAUGUUUCAAAGUAAAAAAUCAUCUAGAUGAGAUUGUUGUGCAGAUCAAUUUCAUCCUUGAAUAAAUAUUCCUUUUAAAAAUCAGGUAUUCCAUUGUGCGACCAUUAUUUUUUAUGCCCAUGUCAGAAAUGAAGGGUCAAGAUAUACUAUACAAUUAAUAUUAUGUAUACACUGAUCAGCCACAGCAAUAAAACAACUGACAGAUGAAGAGAACAACAUUGAUUUUAUUGUUACAAUGGCACCUGUCAAGGGGUGGGAUAUAUUAGGCAGCAAGUGAACAGUCAGUUCUUGAAUUUCAUGUGUUCGAAGCAGGAAAAACAGGCAAGCGAAAAGCUCUGAGUGACUAGGGCAAAAUAGUGGCUAGAUUACAGGGUCAGAGAAUCUCCAAAAUGGCAAGUCUUGUGGGGUUUUCCAACCGGUGAACCAGCAUCAGGGUCAUGGGCACUCAAGUCCUAUUGAGGCACGUUGGGAGCUAAGGUUAGCCCGUCUGGUAUGAUCAUAUAGAAGAGUUGGUGUAGCUCAAAUUGCUGAAAAGCUUGGCACUGGCUAUGAUAGAAAGGUAUCAGAACAGACAGUGCAUCCCAGUUUGCUGUGUAGGGGGCUGCGUUACCCCUAGACUGGUCAGAGUACCAUGAUGACCCUAUCCACCACUGAUAGUGCUGUCAAUGGGGAUAUGAGCAUGAGAACUAGACCAUGGAAGUAUCAAGACUGAUCUGACCCUAACACACAAACCUAGUUUAAAGAUAAAGUAUGAAUGCGUACUGGUCCUUAGAGUGGCUGGGUUAGCACUUUUUUCUUUUAGAUUAGGUAGAUAGUCAGUUGCGUGUGCAUCUUUCACCUGGGGAAGAGAUGGCAGCAGGAUGCAUUAUGGGAAGAAGGUAGGCCGGCGCAGUCAGUGUUAUGGGCAAUGUUCUGCUGGGAAAUCUUGGGUCAUGGCAUUCAUGUGGAUGUUAUUUUCACAUGUGCCACACACCUAGAGAUUGUUGCAGACCACAUACACCCAUUCAUGACAAUGUUCUUCCUUGAUGGCAGUGGCCUUUUUCAGCAGGAUAAUGUACUCUGCCACACUGCACAAAAUGUUCAGGAAUGGUUUGAGGAACAUGGAAAAUAUUUCAAUGUGUUCCUAUGGCCGCCAAAUUCCCCAGGUGUCAAUCCAAUUGAGCAUCUGUGGCAUGUGCUGGAACAACAGAUCCAAUCCAUGAAGGCCCCACAACAGGAUUUAAAAGAUCUGCUGCUCAUGUCUUGGUGCCGGAUAUCUCAGGACACAUUCAAAAGUCUUGUGGAGUCCAUGCUUCAACACAUCAGAGCUGUCUUGGCAGCAUGAGGGGUACAUUGUGGCUGCUCAAUGUGUGUGUAUAUGUAUGAUACAUACAUCCUUUUGGCACUUAAAGGGGCAGUAAACCCUUUUUCCCCUCAGUAAACAGUGAAGUCAAUCAUGAUUUGCUUCCCCGCUAGACAUAUUCAUGCCCUUUUUGCUGAACCCAUUUAGUGAGGAGGAAGAAUGAUGUCUAAUGUUUCCUGUCUAUAUAAACAACGCAAUAAUCAUGCUGCAAACAUUCCAAUAUCAACGUUUUUAUUUAAAUAAACUCACAGGUUCAAAAUCCCCAUUAAUUCUCUAUGAUUGCUGGUUCAGCAAUAAAGAACAAAUCUAUUGGAACUGAUGGCAUGGGACAUUGUCUAAAAGAAGAUCUUGAGAGACCAUGUCAGCAAGAAGGAUGAAAAAAAGAUCAUACAUAUAUGGUCAACUUCAAACAAUAGAAAAUACAUAUUUUUUUAUGUAUUCCUAACUCCACAUGUAGACAUUCAAAGUCUUUUUUUCUAUUUUUAGUUCCAUUUUUUUUCUUUUUAUAAUUUAACAGCUGGUAGAUAAAUGCAAUAUGAGCCACAAGCCUUAAUCUAUUCAUCACACAAUCCAAUAUACAUUCUUUUCACUGUAUUUUGAAUAUGUUCUCGGAGACAUCUCUGUGUUUUCUUUCAGUGUUCCAUUGAGUAGCAAGGUUGAGGAACGGUUACAGUUGCUGAUUUGGCCAACAAGUGGAGUCAAACAGAUGGAGGUUAGGUGGCAACCAGAUUUCUUUGAUGAUGCCUGAGAUUCCAUGUAGAUACUUCAAUCUGCAUUUUUAUUUUUAUUGAUAACACAUUAGGCACCAAAGGUAUGGUACCAAAGGAAAUCCUUAGAUCAAGAGUAAUUCCCUGGAAGAUGAUUCAUACUUAAAAAUGACGCUCAUCACUAAGUAAAAAUAGUAAAUAGCGCUCACUUUAUUAGGAGCACCUGUCUAGUAUCAGUUAGGCUUUUCUUUUGCCUCCAGAACAGCUUGUAUUCUUCUAGCACAAAUUCAAGACAUGCUUUGAAAGAUUUCUUUUGAAUUUUCAUCUGUGCUCAUUAAAUGACGUCAUGCGUUCAUUCUUUCCACUGCAUCUCACAAAUCACAUUAUUGGACGGGGAUCUGUGGACAGUGCAGUGCAGGGCAUAUGGGUAAACAAAGUCAAUAUCAUGCUCUUAAAAUCUGCUGAGAUGUAACAUUGUUGGCGACACAGCAGUUAAGCACUCUGUGGAAACGGCACUGACCAAAGUAUCCAAUGAUCUACUCGCUGAAAAAUCUCGUGGUCACUACUCUAUCCUAAUUCUCCUUGACCUGUCUACGGCUUUUGACACUGUUGAUCAUCAACAGCUUCUUCUCAUCCUCCGCAAUAUCGGUCUACAAGAUAUUGCUCUCUCCUGGUGCUCCUCCUACCUCUCCCAGCGCUCUUUCAGUGUUUCUUUCUCUGGCUCUGCUUCUUCUCCCCAACUCCUCUCUGUUGGUGUCCCCAAGGUUCAGUCCUUGGUCCCCUACUGUUCUCCAUCUAUACUGCCUCCCUUGGUAAACUCAUUAGCUCCUUUGGCUUCCAAUAUAAUUUCUAUGCAGAUGACACGCAAAUCUACCUGUCCUCUCCUGAUCUCUCCCAGUCCCUCUUGACUAGUGUCUCUGACUGCCUCUCUGCUGUUUCUAACUGCAUGGCUGCCCACUUUCUUAAACUAAACUUGACCAAAACUGAAAUUCUGGUCUUUCCUCCCUCAAGUGUUGUUACUCCUGUGUCUGUCUCCCGCCAAGUCAACGGUGCUACCAUCAGCUCCACCAUGCAGGCUCGCUGCCUAGGUGUUCUCUUUGACUCCGACCUCUCCUUCAAGCUUCAUGUUCAAUCUAUCGCCAAAUCCUGUCAUUUCCAUCUCAAAAACAUUGCGCGCAUCCGCCCCUACUUAACGCUAGAUGCGACUAAGGUGUUGGUCCAUUCCACUGUCCUUUCCUGCCUUGACUACUGUAAUCCGCUUCUCAGUGGUCUUACGUGCUCCCAACUUGUGCCGUUACAGUCCAUAAUGAAUGCGGCGGCGAGGCUCAUCUUCAUGUCCGCCCGCACCUCCCAUGCCUCACCCUUCUGUCAGUCCCUACAUUGGCUUCCUAUAAAAUGUAGAGCUCAAUUUAAAAUUUUGGUUCUUGCAUUCAAAUCUCUACAUAAUGAAGCCCCCACCUGUCUAUCCUCCCUUAUCCACAAGUAUGUCCCGUCUAGGCCCUUACGAUCUGCUUUAGACUUACGUCUAUCUUCUGUCCGUACUCCCACCUCUGAUGCUCGCCUUUAAGAUUUCUCGAGGGCUGCACCGUUCCUGUGGAACUCGCUUCCCUCCUCCAUUAGAUGCUCACCCAGUCUCCACUCCUUCAAAAAAUUGUUAAAAACCCACUUCUUCAUAAAAGUGUAUCAAUUAAACUGUUAAUAGCUCCUGACUGAUUCCUCUUCUGCAACUGUCACUAGUCUAGUACUAUCCUUACCUUUUUGUGUCAUUUUACCCCACUCCCUCUAGCAUGUAAGCCAGUGGCGUACACAUGACCCAUGGGGCCCCGGUGCGAAAAUUGAUCCGUAGGCCCCCCCCCCGCGCACGGGCCGGGCCGCAACACAUGGGGGUGGGCACCUGGUCGCAGGGGUUACAGGGCUGCGACCCCUGCGACUGCGGUAUGUACACCAGUGCAUGCAGAUGCACACACUUAAAGGACCACUCUAGGCACCCAGACCACUUCAGCUUAAUGAAGUGGUCUGGGUGCCAGGUCCAGCUAGGGUUAACCCAUUUUUUCAUAAACAAAGCAGUUUCAGAGAAACUGCUAUGUUUAUGAAUGGGUUAAGCCUUCCCCUAUUUCCUCUAGUGGCUGUCCCAUUGACAGCCGCUAGAGGCGCUUGCGUGCUUCUCAUUGUGAUUUUCACAGUGAGAGCACGCCAGCGUCCAUAGGAAAGCAUUAUGAAUGCUUUCCUAUGUGACAGGCUGAAUGCGCGCGCAGCUCUUGCCGCGCGUGCGCAUACAGCCGACGGGGAGGAGAAGAGGAGGAUUGGAGGAGGAGAGCUCUCCGCCCAGCGCUGGAAAAAGGUAAGUUUUACCCCUUUCCAGAGGGGUAAAAGUUGUCUGGGUGUCAGGUCCCUCUAGUUUUAACCCUGCAGCUGAAAACAUAGCAGUUUCAGAGAAACUGCUAUGUUUCACUGAGGGUUAAUCCAGCCUCUAGUGGCUGUCUCACUGACAGCCGCUAGAGGAGCACACUGAACGUCCAUAGGAAAGCAUUGAGUAAUGCUUUCCUAUGGGCGGUUUGAAUGCGUGCGCGGUCGCAUUCGGAGCUGAGAGGCUGAGGGAUCCUCAGUGCCAAGGGAGUCCGGCGCUGGAGAAAGGUAAGUGCUGAAGACACACACACACACUUACAGACGCAUACACACUAGCUAACAGACACACACAUUUACUGACAGAGACACAGUCAGCGACAGACAUACAUACACACUCACUUACAAAACAUGCACUCUCAUUGACAAACACACACUCACUAACAGACAUCAAACAGACUCACUAACACACACACACUCAGUAAGACACACACAGUAACACACUCACUGACACUCACUAGCAGACACACACACUAACACUCACACACACUAACACUCACUCUAACACACACACACUAACACUCACUCACACUAACACUCACUCUAACACUCACACACUCUAACAUUCACUCUAACACUCACUCACUCUAACACUCACUCUAACACACACACUAACACUCACUCUAACACUCACACACACUAACACUCACACACACUAACACUCACUCUAACACUCACACUAACACAUGAUUUUUUUUUUAAAUGUAAUCCCCCCAGCCUCCUUACCUUUUGGAGUGCUGGGGGGAUUCCCUGGGGUCCAGUGGUGCUGCUGGGCUCUGCUGGGCUCCUGGGCGGGUGGCUGGUCGGGCAGGCGGGCGCGCGAGGGAGCACUCACUGCUUCCUCUUCAGCUCCCUCGCGCGCCGCGUAGGGA